ACGAAUCGGGGAGACAUGGGGCAGAUGCACGAAUCGGGGAGACAUGGGGCAGAUGCACGAAUCGGGGAGACAUGGGGCAGAUGCACGAAUCGGGGAGACAUGGGGCAGAUGCACGAAGUGUGAUGCAGGACAGGCUUGUGGUGCUUAGCUACAUAAGAUCAUUCUGUAUAAAAAAAGCUUCCCCAUUUAAGUGAACUGGCUUUAAGAGUACUUCAUUUUGCAGAGGCAGCUGUAACUGGCCUUGGCAUUGGAUCCAGGAUAUCCAUUUUGUAUCAAGUGCAAAUUUUGUUAUGUGAUCUACGAUGCCUGGAAAAGUUUGUAGCGAAGAUCACUACAUCUCACAAAAAGACAAACGAAAAAUACAGGUGUUUUUCAUACUGGAGGGACUGCUCUUUUGGCCUUCUAAGAGGAAUACUUCUCAAGGAUAGCAAAGGGAAAUCAAACCUGCAUUGCAAAAAUUUCCAUAUAUAAAUCUUCCAUCAAAUGCGUACAAAUCUUUUAGACGUAUGCGUAACUUCAGUAAAGACAAAUAUAACACCCUAGCCUACUCACACUUUGUUAUUACUUUAGCUAGUUAUAUUUAAAGAAAUGUACAUCCAGCUACCAUCUGCACUGAAGAUACUGUCUUGUCUAGAAGAAAUCUAUAAGCAAUGCUUUCUACCACCUCAAGUUGGCUGACUAUCUUCUCGUAUAAUUGAACCUCCACUAUACAUAAUUGGUUCAGUUUAUCUUGUCAGCAAGAAAAUUUACAAGACAGUAUGUUGGUUCAUAACUUCUAAGACAUUAAAAUUGUCUUCCUUGCUCAUGUGAGUGACUUCCCACAAAAUAACGUGCUAAAAGCAACCUUAACCAUCCUGAAGAUUUUCUGAUCUCCUGCAAUUCAAGCAUGGAUGACAAUGCUGCUGCAGAGCUGUAGAGGGAUGCCUACCACAUACCGAUAGGGUUCAUUUGUUCAGGGAACUGAACUUUCUCAGGUUCGUAGUCCUGUGUUGUUAGCAGAGCAAAAAUGAAUUACAAUUGAUCUGAGCAGGUAAUUACUUGGAAGCUCUUGCCAUAGCUGAUA
RNAcentral lists this long non-coding RNA (1063 nucleotides) under Numida meleagris (helmeted guineafowl). RNAcentral describes it as "lncRNA (ENSNMEG00000004505.1)". The record is from RNAcentral. Lineage: Eukaryota; Metazoa; Chordata; Aves; Galliformes; Numididae.